AUGUUUGUGUUGAUUUAUGGUUCCCGAUCCUGUACCAGGCUCUCGGGAUUAAUAGGGAAUCCGGUGAAAGUCCGGAACUGUUCCCGCAACUGUAACCCAUACCUUCUGUCCCAUUCUUACAGAAGGGGUUGUCCAUCCUCAGCCAUUGUCCGUAUCCCGGAUGAGAAGGCGGAUCAACCGGUGGAAGUCAGGAGACCUGCCAUUUUUCAUUGAAUUCG
RNAcentral lists this non-coding RNA (218 nucleotides) under Cyclobacterium lianum. The record is from RNAcentral. Lineage: Bacteria; Pseudomonadati; Bacteroidota; Cytophagia; Cytophagales; Cyclobacteriaceae.